CCGAGUUUUCAACUCCCAAACCCUAUGUGAACCAUACCUAUCGUUGCUUCGGCGGGACCGCCCCGGGCCUCGCGCCCGGAACCAGGCGCCCGCCGGGGGACCCAAACUCUGGUGUUUUAUAGUGGCAUCUUCUGAGUGGCUAUAAGCAAAAAAUAAAUCA
This 160-nucleotide unclassified non-coding RNA is filed under the name uncultured Sepedonium. Its description in RNAcentral is "sequence contains ITS1". Lineage: Eukaryota; Fungi; Ascomycota; Sordariomycetes; Hypocreales; Hypocreaceae. The record is from RNAcentral.